AUUUAAGUAGUUUAUCUAAAAUUUUAGUUUGUGGGACUAAAGAUAUAAUAACAUUUAUCUUAAAUA
RNAcentral lists this transfer RNA (66 nucleotides) under Coleoptera sp. 2 AH-2016. Its description in RNAcentral is "tRNA-His". The record is from RNAcentral. Lineage: Eukaryota; Metazoa; Arthropoda; Insecta; Coleoptera.